CAUCAUCAUCAUUCAGAGUGUGAAAAAUCAAAAUCAAAAUCAUCACUGUUUUGAAAGAGAGAAGACAAAUAUGAAGACUCAAUGCAUGCUUUUAGCAACAUUGAUAAUGGCAGGAGCUCUAAUUUUGAGCGAUUAUGGGGCUUCAGGCUUUUCAGACAAUUGUGACGAAAACAAAGUUAGAGAAGUGGGAGCACAAUGUUUUAAGUAUAUCAAAAUUUCAGGACCAAAAAUCCCUCCUUCUAAAGGGUGUUGCAAUGUAUUGAAAAAUGCAGACAUGGGCUGCAUUUGCAAGCAUGUCACACGCAAUGUCACACCGAACUGAAAAAAAUGAUCAGUAUGGAAAAAGUUGUUUACGUGCUUCAGACCUGUGUGGCUUGGCAUUCACUCCUGGAACCAAAUGUGGAAGUCACACUGUUCUUGUGGAUUGAGAACAGAUUACAACCCUGGUGCAAUGCUCCUGUUGAAGCUACUUGAAGUUAGUAGGCUUUUAAAUUAGUAAAUAAAAGGAGUAUAAUUUUUUUAAAAAAUAAAUGUAUGUGUAUGUUAAAAAACUUUAUGUAAUAUAGCAAUGCCAAUUUUCUUUUCUA
Long non-coding RNA from Jatropha curcas, 587 nucleotides. RefSeq lists it as uncharacterized. The record is from RefSeq and is a predicted model, not a curated record. Lineage: Eukaryota; Viridiplantae; Streptophyta; Magnoliopsida; Malpighiales; Euphorbiaceae.